This 1096-nucleotide ribosomal RNA is filed under the name bacterium endosymbiont of Donacia thalassina. RNAcentral's name for it is "bacterial SSU rRNA". It matches the Rfam family "Bacterial small subunit ribosomal RNA", at positions 378 to 1463 of the family's 1533-position model. The record is from RNAcentral.
AAAGCCUGAUGCAGCUAUGCCGCGUGUAUGAAGAAGGCCUUAGGGUUGUAAAGUACUUUCAACAAGAAAGAAAAGAUAAAAUCUAAUAUAUUUUAUCAUUGACGUUACUUGUAAAAGAAGCACCGGCUAACUCCGUGCCAGCAGCCGCGGUAAUACGGAGGGUGCAAGCGUUAAUCGGAAUUACUGGGCGUAAAGAGCACGUAGGCUGUUAGUUAAGUCAGAUGUGAAAUCCCUAAGCUUAACUUAGGAACUGCAUUUGAAACUAAUUAACUUGAGUUUCGUAGAGGGGGGUAGAAUUCCAGGUGUAGCGGUGAAAUGCGUAGAUAUCUGGAGGAAUACCAGUGGCGAAGGCGACCCCCUGGACGAAUACUGACGCUCAGGUGCGAAAGCAUGGGGAGCAAACAGGAUUAGAUACCCUGGUAGUCCAUGCCGUAAACAAUGUCGACUUGAAGGUUGUAAGCUUGACUUAUAGCUUUCGUAGCUAACGCGUUAAGUCGACCGCCUGGGGAGUACGACCGCAAGGUUAAAACUCAAAUGAAUUGACGGGGGCCCGCACAAGCGGUGGAGCAUGUGGUUUAAUUCGAUGCAACGCGAAAAACCUUACCUGGUCUUGACAUCCAUGGAAUUUAAUAGAGAUAUUUUAGUGCCUUCGGGAACCAUGAGACAGGUGCUGCAUGGCUGUCGUCAGCUCGUGUUGUGAAAUGUUGGGUUAAGUCCCGCAACGAGCGCAACCCUUAUCCUUUGUUGCCAUCAGCUAGGCUGGGAACUCAAAGGAGACUGCCGGUGAUAAACCGGAGGAAGGUGAGGACGACGUCAAGUCAUCAUGGCCCUUACGACCAGGGCUACACACGUGCUACAAUGGUAUAUACAAAGGGAAGCAUCCUCGCAAGAGUAAGCGAAUCUCACAAAAUAUAUCUUAGUUCGGAUUGGAGUCUGCAACUCGACUCCAUGAAGUCGGAAUCGCUAGUAAUCGUAGAUCAGAAUGCUACGGUGAAUACGUUCCCGGGCCUUGUACACACCGCCCGUCACACCAUGGAAGUGGGUUGUAAAAGAAGUAAGUUGCUUAACCUUUUUUUAGGAGGGCGCUUACCACUUU